Molecule: ribosomal RNA, 481 nt
Filed under: uncultured Actinomycetes bacterium
Lineage: Bacteria; Bacillati; Actinomycetota; Actinomycetes
Description: bacterial SSU rRNA
Rfam family: Bacterial small subunit ribosomal RNA
Source: RNAcentral
GGCGGCGUGCUUAACACAUGCAAGUGGUGCGACGAACCAGGGCUUGCCCUGGGGCUAAGCCGCGAACGGGUGAGUAACACGUGAGUAAUCUGCCCCGAUGACCGGGACAACCCGAGGAAACUCGGGCUAAUACCGGAUGUGGUGCACGGGUAUAAGCCUGUGUACUAAAGGAAGCUUCGGCCUCCGCAUUGGGAGGAGCUCGCGGCCCAUUAGCUUGUUGGUGGGGUAACGGCCUACCAAGGCAACGAUGGGUAGCUGGUCUGAGAGGACGAUCAGCCACACUGGGACUGAGACACGGCCCAGACUCCUACGGGAGGCAGCAGUGGGGAAUCUUGCGCAAUGCGCGAAAGCGUGACGCAGCGACGCCGCGUGGGGGAAGAAGGCUUUCGGGUUGUAAACCCCUUUCAGGAAGGACGAAGCUACUCGGGUUAAUAGCCCAGAGGGUGACGGUACUUCCAGAAGAAGCCCCGGCUAACUACGU